AACCACGUUGCUGUUGAAAAAGCAUGGGAUGAGCUGUGGAUAGCGGAGAAAUUCCAAUCGAACCCGGAGAUAGCUGGUUCUCUCCGAAAUAGCUUUAGGGCUAGCGUCGAGUAUGAGUAGUGGAGGUAGAGCACUGAAUGGGCUAGGGGGCAUAGCGCUUACCGAACCUUAUCAAACUCCGAAUGCCACAUACUUUGAGCUCGGCAGUCAGACUACGAAUGAUAAGAUCCGUGGUCAAAAGGGAAACAGCCCAGAUCGUCAGCUAAGGUCCCAAAGUGUAAGUUAAGUGGGAAAUGAUGUGAGAUUUCUAAGACAACUAGGAUGUUGGCUUAGAAGCAGCCAUUCAUUAAAAGAGUGCGUAAUAGCUCACUAGUCGAGAGAUCUUGCGCCGAAAAUGUAACGGGGCUAAACUUACCACCGAAGCUACGGGCUUGAACUUAGUUCAAGCGGUAGGAGAGCGUCGUAACCGGGCUGAAGUCGUACCGUAAGGAGCGGGGGACUGGUUACGAGUGAGAAUGUUGGCAUCAGUAGCGAGAUGUGGGUGAGAAUCCCACAGGCCGAAAACCUAAGGUUUCCUCAGGAAGGUUCGUCCGCUGAGGGUUAGUCGGGACCUAAGCCGAGGCCGAAAGGCGUAGGUGAUGGACAACUGGUUGAUAUUCCAGUACCACUACCAUCGUUAUUAUCGAUGGCGUAACGCAGGAGGAUAGUGUGUGCUAGCUAUUGGAUGCUAGUCUAAGCGUUUAGGCAGUGAGAGUAGGCAAAUCCGCUCUCAUAAUGCUGAGGCGUGAUGGGGAAGGUUCUACGGAACUGAAGUACAUGAUUCCACGCUGCCAAGAAAAGCGUCUAGAGAGAGAAGUAGUGCCCGUACCGCAAACCGACACAGGUAGGUGAGGAGAGAAUCCUAAGGCCGGCGGAAGAAUUACAGUUAAGGAACUCGGCAAAUUGACCCCGUAAGUUCGCGAGAAGGGGUGCCUACGAGAGUAGGCCGCAGAGAAUAGGCCCAAGCAACUGUUUAGCAAAAACACAGGUCUCUGCUAAAGCGUAAGCUGAUGUAUAGGGGCUGACGCCUGCCCGGUGCUGGAAGGUUAAGGGGAACACUUAGC
Molecule: ribosomal RNA, 1103 nt
Filed under: Clostridium perfringens
Lineage: Bacteria; Bacillati; Bacillota; Clostridia; Eubacteriales; Clostridiaceae
Description: bacterial LSU rRNA
Rfam family: Bacterial large subunit ribosomal RNA
Source: RNAcentral